AUAGAGAUGACAAUGGCAUAAUCAAAGACGACAAUUAUCUACCUCCUAUUAAAGAAGGGAUCUCAAUAAGAGUUAUAACCAUAGAUACAUCAAAUACUUGAGAUCAUUCCAAGUUUGAUAACAUAAGUUUUAUAAGAUACACAUUGUCUAGUAGAGUGUAAUACAAGUUUGAUCUUGUGACUUAAUUAUUAAACACUCAUUUCUUCCCGCUUUUCUUCAGUCCUGCUCCACCGAAUGACCCCUUCUGUGAUGCCUUUGCCUUCAGCUCUUUUAGUGCCUGCGCAUAACCAAAUGUCAAGUUCACAUUCCAGAAGGAAAGACAACACUCUAGUUGUUGUAAUAACAACAUGGUUUGCUUAAACAUUCUUGUUAGAAUCACAUCUUAAUUAGUCUAAUUCAAAAAGAAUGCAAAACAGAUCAAAUAUGAUAGAUAUACUGAUAUACAGAUCACUUUGAGCAAAUCAGGCCUUGAUACUUGCCUAUCAAAUCAGUUGCAUAAGAAGCAAGUAGAUAUGUUGAGGAUAAGCUCAUAAACACAUCAAAAAUUCUUGAUAUUAAAAAAAGUUAAAUAUGUCAAGUAGAGUAUGCAUAUUCACUGAAUACUGACAAUGAAUUCGAAUAUGGAAUAAGAUGUGGAAUUCUAAUUACUUUUAAGCAACUAUCCUGUUUGAACAAGGGGUCCCAAGGUUUGUUUAGCAUACCAUACCACAUAUAUAUCCUCAUGGGAAUAAGAUGAUGGUCACCUUACUCUGAUAGUCUAUUUCACAAAUCAUUUAAUUUCAGAGCAUGGUAACACACACACACACACACACACACAUAUAUAUAUAUAUAUAUACUAACACAAAGCUCACUAUUUCAAGCAUACAUGGUAAGGCUAUAAUACAGUAAUUCCAUAUGAAUUGAACAGAAGUUACUUCAAAAUAUAACACAAACCUUAGUUUUCGCC
Molecule: long non-coding RNA, 946 nt
Filed under: Aquilegia coerulea
Lineage: Eukaryota; Viridiplantae; Streptophyta; Magnoliopsida; Ranunculales; Ranunculaceae
Description: long non-coding RNA (ACOE_LNC001821)
Source: RNAcentral